AUACACAAGGCGUGUGCCAUAUAUGUUAUCAUGUUUGACAAAUAGUCUAUUCUCCUUAGGCCAAGGUAAAGAAAACAUCACAAAGACCGGAUCAAGCGUAAGAUUAGAAGACAGUGCAAUCAAGAAAUGCAGUGAGUACAAGUAGGUUUUUGUGAUGGUGCACCUUCCUGUUCACCUGUCAGCUCAUUUGUCUGCUCCAGAAUUGUUUUGUGUAGUUCUCUGGGUAAGAACGUUUUGUUUUUCCUCUUCUAUAAGUGAUCUCUUGUGAGCUCCAGUCUCAGUCCUUUAAGAAAAUUU
Molecule: long non-coding RNA, 297 nt
Filed under: Chinchilla lanigera (long-tailed chinchilla)
Lineage: Eukaryota; Metazoa; Chordata; Mammalia; Rodentia; Chinchillidae
Description: lncRNA (ENSCLAG00000027760.1)
Source: RNAcentral